This is a non-coding RNA of Parasteatoda tepidariorum (common house spider), 677 nucleotides long. The record is from RefSeq and is a predicted model, not a curated record. Lineage: Eukaryota; Metazoa; Arthropoda; Arachnida; Araneae; Theridiidae.
CCAAACUUGCGACCGCUCUCCUGAUCAAACUAUUUUGACAAUAUUUCUCAGAUUGCGGCUACACCCUUUAAUUUGGGGGUAAAAAAUUCGAAUCAGUCUAAAAAAGAUACAUUUAUUCAGAAAAGGUACGUUUUUGUGUCUGAUUUCGCUACUUGAAUUAUCGUCUGAAGUGAUAAAUUAUAUUUGAGGUCUCCCUCUUGAACCAUUAAGAUAGAGUCGUGAUCGUGAAGAUCUGAUCAUGUGAUCCGCACCAACACCAUGGAGUCACUAGUAUGUUGAAACUCAUAGCUGUAUUAUAAAAAAAAGUGCAAAUCAAAGCAAGGCUAUUGAAGUAUGUAAUAAGUAUAUUCAUUAAUAAUAUAAAAACUCCUUUUAUUAAAAAAUAUAAACAAAACAUUCCAAAGUAACAAUUGAAAAUUAGAUUAAUAAUUUAUUUUUCCAUCGUAAACAUCUUGUUUUUUAGCUUCUUAAUCAACAAUAAAGUGCUUUACCAUAUUACUACACUUGAAAAUAUAACUCAGCAUUGCUUGCCUCCUAAAAUUUAAAUAUAAAUUUUGAGUGUUUUUUAUAAUUUGCGUUAUUUUAUUUUAUUCUUUAUUUUAAAAUGCUGGUUCGAUUUUAGGGGAUAGUUCUUACGGAGAUGAUGAUGGAAAUUAUGGAUCUAGCAGUAAGUAACA